Molecule: ribosomal RNA, 468 nt
Filed under: uncultured bacterium
Lineage: Bacteria
Description: partial 16S ribosomal RNA
Rfam family: Bacterial small subunit ribosomal RNA
Source: RNAcentral
GACGAACGCUGGCGGCGUGCUUAACACAUGCCAGUCGAACGGAAAGGCCCUGCUUUUGUGGGGUGCUCGAGCGGCGAACGGGUGAGUAACACGUGAGUAACCUGCCCUUGACUUUGGGAUAACUUCAGGAAACUGGGGCUAAUACCGGAUAGGAGCUCCUGCUGCAUGGUGGGGGUUGGAAAGUUUCGGCGGUUGGGGAUGGACUCGCGGCUUAUCAGCUUGUUGGUGGGGUAGUGGCUUACCAAGGCUUUGACGGGUAGCCGGCCUGCGAGGGUGACCGGCCACAUUGGGACUGAGAUACGGCCCAGACUCCUACGGGAGGCAGCAGUGGGGAAUAUUGCACAAUGGGCGGAAGCCUGAUGCAGCACCGCCGCGUGCGGGAUGACGGCCUUCGGGUUGUAAACCUCUUUCGCCUGUGACGAAGAGGGAGUGACGGGAAUGGGUAAAGAAGCACCGGCUAACUACGUG